This 250-nucleotide ribosomal RNA is filed under the name uncultured prokaryote. Its description in RNAcentral is "partial 16S ribosomal RNA". It matches the Rfam family "Bacterial small subunit ribosomal RNA", at positions 524 to 774 of the family's 1533-position model. The record is from RNAcentral.
UACGGAGGAUGCGAGCGUUAUCCGGAUUUAUUGGGUUUAAAGGGUGCGUAGGCGGCUGGUUAAGCGGGAGGUGAAAUGCCGGCGCUCAAUGUCGGAAGUGCCUCCCGAACUGGCGAGCUGGAAUGCCCCUGCCGUGGAGGAAUGUGUGGUGUAGCGGUGAAAUGCUUAGAGAUCACACAGAACACCGAUUGCGAGGGCAUCUCACGAAGGGGUGAUUGACGCUGAGGCACGAAAGCGUGGGGAUCAAACA